Molecule: long non-coding RNA, 331 nt
Filed under: Medicago truncatula (barrel medic)
Lineage: Eukaryota; Viridiplantae; Streptophyta; Magnoliopsida; Fabales; Fabaceae
Description: long non-coding RNA (MTRU_LNC003359)
Source: RNAcentral
ACUAAAAUUUAUAUGUCUUAAAACAAAGUAUUGGUUCUGGAAGAACAAUUUAGAGCAAAAGAAUUUUCAAGAAAAGCCAAGUUGCAAGUCAUAAUCUGAAGAAGUCAGAGUCUAAGUUUAUCGAGAAGCUAGAUAUUCAGAGUUUGAAGAUCACCCAGAAGCUGAAGUGCAGACCCUAAAGUCAGCUUUUAUGGUUAUAUGAAGACACAACGAUGCAGAAGGAUAUAAAAUAUUGGAGCAACGAUAGUUCUGGAGAAUUAGAAGGCUUUGGAUGCUUUUAUAAGAAAAAGGACAGUAAAGGACAUAUAGUACAAUUGUACAACCACUACCC